Molecule: long non-coding RNA, 1473 nt
Filed under: Sus scrofa (pig)
Lineage: Eukaryota; Metazoa; Chordata; Mammalia; Artiodactyla; Suidae
Description: lncRNA (ENSSSCG00070024995.1)
Source: RNAcentral
AUCUUUAAAAAAGGCUCUGAUUGGCUCAGCGCGGCACACUGAUGCACAACUGUCAUUCAACGCACCUCAUCUGAGCAUGAAGAUGGGAUCUCGUGUGCACACACAAGAGCUUGCCGCAGUUGAGUCAGUCCAUCACCAUGGCAGGGGUACUCGUUGGAAGCUCUAUAUUUGGGAUCACAGCCAACAGGUUCUUCAUCGAGUCUGCCCUCUGGUACUGCUCCUUGGGGAAACUGGACAUCACCCUGAAGGCCCUGCAGAGAGUGGCCCAGAUCGACAGGAAGCAGAGAGAAGGUGCCAAACUGAGUGUGGAGAUGCUCCAGAUGAGUCUGCAGAGGGGCCUGACCAUGGGCCAAGCCCAGCCUUUGAUGCUGCAACUGCUGCACAUGCCAGCUGUCCAGAAGCUCUUCUUCUGUCUCCUGCCACUAUGGCAGAGAGAUCUGAGCAUGACGGCCGCCUUGGCCAACACAGGCAGCAUCCUGAGCCCGCUGGUGAGCACGACCUCAGAGGUUUACCCUUCCCUGCCUCUCUGCAUCUCUGGAGCAGCCCUUGUGGCUGCCUGUCCCAUCACUGUCCUCCUGCCGGAGACUCUGGGGCAGCCACUGCCCAACACAGUGCAGGACCUGGAGAGAAGGUGGAAAGAGAAACCCGGGCAGAAGCAGCAGGAGCAGCAGAUGGUUCCCCUCCUGCCUCCCGAGGACUGAGAAAGGGCAAAGCACGGACGGAGCCCCCGCAUCUCCUGGAGGUCCUCACCCAGAGGAGGGGGAGAGGAACGGCAGCCAGGGGAAGACGGGAGGGACCGCUGCUGGACCUGUAAUUCCAGAGGACACUUCCCCUGGGUCUCCGAUCCUAGCCAGACCCACCCUCCCAUUUCAUUGAAAGUAGCUACACACAACUUCUCCCAUUCUUUCCACCAUGGCCGCUCCACAUCAGCUAACCCUUGGUGCAAAAAUUCACAUGGCAGAGUUCCCACUGCGGUGCAAUGGGAUUGGUGGCGUCUCUGCAGCACCAGGAUGCAGGUUCGAUCCCCAGCCCAGCACAAUGGGUUAAAGGACCCAGUCUUGCCACCGUGGCAUUGGUUGCAGCUGUGGCUAGGAUCUGAUCCUGGCCUGGGAACGCCGCAUGUCUUGGGGCAGCCAAAAAACAAACAAACAAAAAAAAAACACAACAACUCAUUCAGUGAUCAUUGGUGUAGAAAAUCCAGUGGAAUCUACACAAACACUACUUCAACAACAAGGAGUUUAGGAAAGUGGUAGGGAGUUCGCGUUGUGGCUCAGCGUAAACGAAUCUGACUAGUAACCAUGAGGACACAAGUUCGAUCCCUGGCCUUACUCAGUGAGUUAAGGAUCCGGCAUGGCUGUGGCUUUGGCGUAGCCAGGAGCUGUAGCUCCGAUUGGAACCCUAGCCUGGGAACCUCCAUAUGCCACGGAUGAGGCCCUAAAUAAAAAAAGAGAGAGAAAGUGGUGGAUUAUAAUA